UUCGGAAUUGCCUGGGGAUCUUGUCAAAGUGCAGAUUCUCACUGAGUAGAUCUGGGCAGAGCCUGAGUUUCUGCAUUUUUCCCCAGUUCCCCUGGGAUGGUGCU
This 104-nucleotide microRNA precursor is filed under the name Marmota monax (woodchuck). Lineage: Eukaryota; Metazoa; Chordata; Mammalia; Rodentia; Sciuridae. The record is from RNAcentral.